This 190-nucleotide unclassified non-coding RNA is filed under the name uncultured Russula. Its description in RNAcentral is "sequence contains ITS1". Lineage: Eukaryota; Fungi; Basidiomycota; Agaricomycetes; Russulales; Russulaceae. The record is from RNAcentral.
UCGUUAAACCGAGGCGCGAGGGCUGUCGCUGACCUUUCCCGGUCGUGCACGCCCGAGCCCUCUCACACAAUCCAUCUCACCCUUUGUGCAUCACCGCGUGGGUCCCCCUUUGCCGGAGGGCCCGCGUCUUUACACAAAACUCGAUACAGUGUAGAAUGUUUAUUUUCGCCGUCGCACGCGAUCAAUAAUA